GAUGAACGCUGGCGGCGUGCCUAAUACAUGCAAGUCGAGCGAACAGACGAGGAGCUUGCUCCUCUGACGUUAGCGGCGGACGGGUGAGUAACACGUGGAUAACCUACCUAUAAGACUGGGAUAACUUCGGGAAACCGGAGCUAAUACCGGAUAAUAUAUUGAACCGCAUGGUUCAAUAGUGAAAGACGGUUUUGCUGUCACUUAUAGAUGGAUCCGCGCCGCAUUAGCUAGUUGGUAAGGUAACGGCUUACCAAGGCGACGAUGCGUAGCCGACCUGAGAGGGGGAUCGGCCACACUGGAACUGAGACACGGUCCAGACUCCUACGGGAGGCAGCAGUAGGGAAUCUUCCGCAAUGGGCGAAAGCUUGACGGAGCAACGCCGCGUGAGUGAUGAAGGUCUUCGGAUCGUAAAACUCUGUUAUUAGGGAAGAACAAAUGUGUAAGUAACUAUGCACGUCUUGACGGUACCUAAGCAGAAAGCCACGGCUAACUACGU
Molecule: ribosomal RNA, 496 nt
Filed under: uncultured bacterium
Lineage: Bacteria
Description: partial 16S ribosomal RNA
Rfam family: Bacterial small subunit ribosomal RNA
Source: RNAcentral